RNAcentral lists this ribosomal RNA (497 nucleotides) under uncultured bacterium. RNAcentral's name for it is "partial 16S ribosomal RNA". It matches the Rfam family "Bacterial small subunit ribosomal RNA", at positions 28 to 507 of the family's 1533-position model. The record is from RNAcentral.
GAUGAACGCUGGCGGCGUGCCUAAUACAUGCAAGUCGAGCGAACAGACGAGGAGCUUGCUCCUCUGACGUUAUCGUCUUACUUUUUAGUAACACGUUUAUAACCUACCUAUACUACUGGGAUAACUUCGGGAAACCGUAUCUAAUACCGGAUAAUAUAUUGAACCGCAUGGUUCAAUAGUGAACGACGGUUUUGCUGUCACUUAUAGAUGGCUCCGCGCCGCAUUAGCUAGUUGGUAAGGUAACGGCUUACCAAGGCAACGAUGCGUAGCCGACCUGAGAGGGUGAUCGGCCACACUGGAACUGAGACACGGUCCAGACUCCUACGGGAGGCAGCAGUAGGGAAUCUUCCGCAAUGGGCGAAAGCCUGACGGAGCAACGCCGCGUGAGUGAUGAAGGUCUUCGGAUCGUAAAACUCUGUUAUUAGGGAAGAACAAAUGUGUAAGUAACUAUGCACGGCUUGACGGUACCUAAUCAGAAAGCCACGGCUAACUACGUG